AGCGUACACGGUGGAUGCCCUGGCAGUCAGAGGCGAUGAAGGACGUGCUAAUCUGCGAUAAGCGUCGGUAAGGUGAUAUGAACCGUUAUAACCGGCGAUUUCCGAAUGGGGAAACCCAGUGUGUUUCGACACACUAUCAUUAACUGAAUCCAUAGGUUAAUGAGGCGAACCGGGGGAACUGAAACAUCUAAGUACCCCGAGGAAAAGAAAUCAACCGAGAUUCCCCCAGUAGCGGCGAGCGAACGGGGAGGAGCCCAGAGCCUGAAUCAGUGUGUGUGUUAGUGGAAGCGUCUGGAAAGGCGCGCGAUACAGGGUGACAGCCCCGUACACAAAAAUGCACAUGCUGUGAGCUCGAUGAGUAGGGCGGGACACGUGGUAUCCUGUCUGAAUAUGGGGGGACCAUCCUCCAAGGCUAAAUACUCCUGACUGACCGAUAGUGAACCAGUACCGUGAGGGAAAGGCGAAAAGAACCCCGGCGAGGGGAGUGAAAAAGAACCUGAAACCGUGUACGUACAAGCAGUGGGAGCACGCUUAGGCGUGUGACUGCGUACCUUUUGUAUAAUGGGUCAGCGACUUAUAUUCUGUAGCAAGGUUAACCGAAUAGGGGAGCCGAAGGGAAACCGAGUCUUAACUGGGCGUUAAGUUGCAGGGUAUAGACCCGAAACCCGGUGAUCUAGCCAUGGGCAGGUUGAAGGUUGGGUAACACUAACUGGAGGACCGAACCGACUAAUGUUGAAAAAUUAGCGGAUGACUUGUGGCUGGGGGUGAAAGGCCAAUCAAACCGGGAGAUAGCUGGUUCUCCCCGAAAGCUAUUUAGGUAGCGCCUCGUGAAUUCAUCUCCGGGGGUAGAGCACUGUUUCGGCAAGGGGGUCAUCCCGACUUACCAACCCGAUGCAAACUGCGAAUACCGGAGAAUGUUAUCACGGGAGACACACGGCGGGUGCUAACGUCCGUCGUGAAGAGGGAAACAACCCAGACCGCCAGCUAAGGUCCCAAAGUCAUGGUUAAGUGGGAAACGAUGUGGGAAGGCCCAGACAGCCAGGAUGUUGGCUUAGAAGCAGCCAUCAUUUAAAGAAAGCGUAAUAGCUCACUGGUCGAGUCGGCCUGCGCGGAAGAUGUAACGGGGCUAAACCAUGCACCGAAGCUGCGGCAGCGACGCUUAUGCGUUGUUGGGUAGGGGAGCGUUCUGUAAGCCUGUGAAGGUGUGCUGUGAGGCAUGCUGGAGGUAUCAGAAGUGCGAAUGCUGACAUAAGUAACGAUAAAGCGGGUGAAAAGCCCGCUCGCCGGAAGACCAAGGGUUCCUGUCCAACGUUAAUCGGGGCAGGGUGAGUCGACCCCUAAGGCGAGGCCGAAAGGCGUAGUCGAUGGGAAACAGGUUAAUAUUCCUGUACUUGGUGUUACUGCGAAGGGGGGACGGAGAAGGCUAUGUUGGCCGGGCGACGGUUGUCCCGGUUUAAGCGUGUAGGCUGGUUUUCCAGGCAAAUCCGGAAAAUCAAGGCUGAGGCGUGAUGACGAGGCACUACGGUGCUGAAGCAACAAAUGCCCUGCUUCCAGGAAAAGCCUCUAAGCAUCAGGUAACAUCAAAUCGUACCCCAAACCGACACAGGUGGUCAGGUAGAGAAUACCAAGGCGCUUGAGAGAACUCGGGUGAAGGAACUAGGCAAAAUGGUGCCGUAACUUCGGGAGAAGGCACGCUGAUAUGUAGGUGAAGUCCCUCGCGGAUGGAGCUGAAAUCAGUCGAAGAUACCAGCUGGCUGCAACUGUUUAUUAAAAACACAGCACUGUGCAAACACGAAAGUGGACGUAUACGGUGUGACGCCUGCCCGGUGCCGGAAGGUUAAUUGAUGGGGUCAGCGCAAGCGAAGCUCUUGAUCGAAGCCCCGGUAAACGGCGGCCGUAACUAUAACGGUCCUAAGGUAGCGAAAUUCCUUGUCGGGUAAGUUCCGACCUGCACGAAUGGCGUAAUGAUGGCCAGGCUGUCUCCACCCGAGACUCAGUGAAAUUGAACUCGCUGUGAAGAUGCAGUGUACCCGCGGCAAGACGGAAAGACCCCGUGAACCUUUACUAUAGCUUGACACUGAACAUUGAGCCUUGAUGUGUAGGAUAGGUGGGAGGCUUUGAAGUGUGGACGCCAGUCUGCAUGGAGCCGACCUUGAAAUACCACCCUUUAAUGUUUGAUGUUCUAACGUUGACCCGUGAUCCGGGUUGCGGACAGUGUCUGGUGGGUAGUUUGACUGGGGCGGUCUCCUCCUAAAGAGUAACGGAGGAGCACGAAGGUUGGCUAAUCCUGGUCGGACAUCAGGAGGUUAGUGCAAUGGCAUAAGCCAGCUUGACUGCGAGCGUGACGGCGCGAGCAGGUGCGAAAGCAGGUCAUAGUGAUCCGGUGGUUCUGAAUGGAAGGGCCAUCGCUCAACGGAUAAAAGGUACUCCGGGGAUAACAGGCUGAUACCGCCCAAGAGUUCAUAUCGACGGCGGUGUUUGGCACCUCGAUGUCGGCUCAUCACAUCCUGGGGCUGAAGUAGGUCCCAAGGGUAUGGCUGUUCGCCAUUUAAAGUGGUACGCGAGCUGGGUUUAGAACGUCGUGAGACAGUUCGGUCCCUAUCUGCCGUGGGCGCUGGAGAACUGAGGGGGGCUGCUCCUAGUACGAGAGGACCGGAGUGGACGCAUCACUGGUGUUCGGGUUGUCAUGCCAAUGGCACUGCCCGGUAGCUAAAUGCGGAAGAGAUAAGUGCUGAAAGCAUCUAAGCACGAAACUUGCCCCGAGAUGAGUUCU
This 2773-nucleotide ribosomal RNA is filed under the name Escherichia coli. Its description in RNAcentral is "bacterial LSU rRNA". It matches the Rfam family "Bacterial large subunit ribosomal RNA". Lineage: Bacteria; Pseudomonadati; Pseudomonadota; Gammaproteobacteria; Enterobacterales; Enterobacteriaceae. The record is from RNAcentral.